RNAcentral lists this long non-coding RNA (299 nucleotides) under Salmo trutta (river trout). Its description in RNAcentral is "lncRNA (ENSSTUG00000051127.1)". The record is from RNAcentral. Lineage: Eukaryota; Metazoa; Chordata; Actinopteri; Salmoniformes; Salmonidae.
GUGGCGGCAGGCAUGCACCUUAAACGUGUUUGCGGACGGCCAUUAUACCAUAAAGAAGAAGAAACAAUGAAGCCAAAGAUUUAUUUUUAAGCGAAUUGAACGCACCCCAAUCGGUGGGGCGAAACAGAAACUGUCAGCUGAAGAAUAGAGGAUGCGUGUUGAACCCACUGCAACUGGACACGGACAUUUAUAAGGCACCCUUUCACCGAUCGAGAACGAAGACGGUGUCGCAAGAGCAGUCAGUUUGUAUGAGGAGUCCUGUGCUUGGUGCAUCUUUUAAUCUUUGACCUUUGGCACAC